GACGAACGCUGGCGGCGUGCUUAACACAUGCAAGUCGAACGGAAAGGCCCUGCGCUUGUGGGGUGCUCGAGUGGCGAACGGGUGAGUAACACGCGAGUAACCUGCCCUUGACUUUGGGAUAACAUCAGGAAACACGGGCUAAUACCGGGGAGGAGAUCCUGAUGCACGGUGGUGGUUGGAAAGUUUCGGCGGUGGGGGCUGGACUCGCGGGUUAUCGGCUUGAUUGUGGGGUAGUGGCUUACCAAGGCUUCGACGGGUAGCCGGCCUGGGAGGUUGACCGGCGACCUGGGGACUGAGGUACGCCGCAGACUCGAACGGUCGGCAAUAGUCGGAAAUCUUACGGAACGGGGGGGAGUGUGAUGCGAAGAUCUCGGGUGCGUAAAACUCUGCUACGAGUGAAAAACCACUUUCUCCGUUACCGUAGAGUGAGUGACGGUACUUGGUAAAGAAGCCCCGGCUAACUACGUG
This 468-nucleotide ribosomal RNA is filed under the name uncultured bacterium. RNAcentral's name for it is "partial 16S ribosomal RNA". It matches the Rfam family "Bacterial small subunit ribosomal RNA", at positions 28 to 507 of the family's 1533-position model. The record is from RNAcentral.